RNAcentral lists this ribosomal RNA (964 nucleotides) under Octospora kelabitiana. Its description in RNAcentral is "bacterial SSU rRNA". It matches the Rfam family "Eukaryotic small subunit ribosomal RNA", at positions 129 to 1082 of the family's 1831-position model. The record is from RNAcentral. Lineage: Eukaryota; Fungi; Ascomycota; Pezizomycetes; Pezizales; Pyronemataceae.
ACUUUGCUACAUGGAUAACCGUGGUAAUUCUAGAGCUAAUACAUGCUAGAUGUCCCGACCUCUGGAAGGGAUGUAUUUAUUAGAUAAAAAACCAAUGCCCCCCUCACCGGGGGCUUCGUGGUGAUUCAUAAUAACUUAACGAAUCGCGUUCGGCCUUAGCUAGCGAUGGUUCAUUCAAAUUUCUGCCCUAUCAACUUUCGAUGGUAGGAUAGUGGCCUACCAUGGUUUCAACGGGUAACGGGGAAUUAGGGUUCGAUUCCGGAGAGGGAGCCUGAGAAACGGCUACCACAUCCAAGGAAGGCAGCAGGCGCGCAAAUUACCCAAAUCCCAAACUGAAGGGGAGGUAGUGACAAUAAAUACUGAUACAGGGCCUUUUUGGGUCUUGUAAUUGGAAUGAGUACAGUCUAAAUCCUUUAACGAGGAACAAUUGGAGGGCAAGUCUGGUGCCAGCAGCCGCGGUAAUUCCAGCUCCAAUAGCGUAUAUUAAAGUUGUUGCAGUUAAAAAGCUCGUAGUUGAACCUUGGAUCUGGGGGACCGGUCUGCGUCACCGCAUGUUACUGGAACCCCGGAUCUUUCCUUCUGGAGAACCGCAUGCCCUUUACUGGGUGUGCUGGGAAACCAGGACUUUUACUUUGAAAAAAUUAGAGUGUUCAAAGCAAGGCCAAAAUCCAAACGCACAAAUACAUUAGCAUGGAAUAAUAGAAUAGGACGUGCGGUCUUAUUUUGUUGGUUUCCAGGACCGCCGUAAUGAUUAAUAGGGAUAGUCGGGGGCAUCCGUAUUCGAUUGUCAGAGGUGAAAUUCUUGGAUUUUUCGAAGACGAACUACUGCGAAAGCAUUUGCCAAGGAUGUUUUCAUUAAUCAGGAACGAAAGUUGAGGGAUCGAAGACGAUCAGAUACCGUCGUAGUCUCAACCAUAAACUAUGCCGACUAGGGAUCGGGCGAUGUUUAAUUUUGACUCGCUCG